This 253-nucleotide ribosomal RNA is filed under the name uncultured bacterium. Its description in RNAcentral is "partial 16S ribosomal RNA". It matches the Rfam family "Bacterial small subunit ribosomal RNA", at positions 524 to 776 of the family's 1533-position model. The record is from RNAcentral.
UACGUAGGGUGCAAGCGUUAAUCGGAAUUACUGGGCGUAAAGCGUGCGCAGGCGGCUUUGCAAGACAGAUGUGAAAUCCCCGGGCUUAACCUGGGAACUGCAUUUGUGACUGCAAGGCUGGAGUGCGGCAGAGGGGGAUGGAAUUCCACGUGUAGCAGUGAAAUGCGUAGAGAUGUGGAGGAAUACCGAUGGCGAAGGCAGCCCCCUGGGAUAACACUGACGCUCAUGCACGAAAGCGUGGGGAGCAAACAGG